UCACCCCAUUCAGUGCUGCUGUGGUAGAAAUGCUUACCAGAAAGCUCUCUGGAGGAAAAAAGAAAGGGAGGAAGGAGAAAAUAGCAAGGAAACUGGCCGCGCUGUGUAGGCUCUGCUAAAUUCCUCAUUAGUUGUUCUUUCCAUGGCUAGCCUCAAGUCAGCAGCAUCAGGUGGUGGAAUGUGGUGUCCAGAAGAGAUAUCCAGUCUCCGGGUUUUUUCUAGUCAUUUCCUGGGAAGACACGGCUGAUGGAAGUCAUCUUAAGAGCAUGCAAACCAUGGACGAUAGCAAAGAUAACCAGGAGAGGGUGGUGUCAAUGCUGGUGUCAUGGUCACUGGCUUUGAGAGCAGCAGGAACUCUAACCUGCCAACUCUUAUUUCAUAAGUGCUGGAAGCGAUCCAGGUGGAUGCAUCCCGGAUGCUAAGGAAUUCCUCGGUCUGAGACAUUUUGUUGGAUUUCUACAAUGUUCAAUCCCUGGAGCCCAUAUGGAAAAGCUGAAGGCAGUGACACACAUCUACAAGUACAGCACUCCUGUGGAGAGGAUGGAGAGACAGAAAUGGAGACAGAACUGCGGAGAAGCUGAUAGAGCAGCUAACACGAAGAAUUAGAACAUCAGAAAAAGAAGGUUUUGCCCAAACAAGGUAGAAGACAAGAACUGACUCCUUAAAGCUAUGUGUCCUG
Long non-coding RNA from Rattus norvegicus (Norway rat), 679 nucleotides. Lineage: Eukaryota; Metazoa; Chordata; Mammalia; Rodentia; Muridae. The record is from Ensembl.